AUGCAGAAGACGGAGUCAGUUCCACCUUUUAAGCAGCUGAUGCUCAUUUCUGUGGCAGUGAUGCUUCAGAGACCAUGCCACAGCCAUCAGCUUAUAGAUAAAUAUCAUCAAAAUUAAACACUUUCUUCCACCUUGG
Molecule: long non-coding RNA, 136 nt
Filed under: Chinchilla lanigera (long-tailed chinchilla)
Lineage: Eukaryota; Metazoa; Chordata; Mammalia; Rodentia; Chinchillidae
Description: lncRNA (ENSCLAG00000024042.1)
Source: RNAcentral